Molecule: long non-coding RNA, 430 nt
Filed under: Selaginella moellendorffii
Lineage: Eukaryota; Viridiplantae; Streptophyta; Lycopodiopsida; Selaginellales; Selaginellaceae
Description: long non-coding RNA (SMOE_LNC000847)
Source: RNAcentral
UGAUCUUCCAAAGGAGAGUGUUAUUGGCCGCUGCUGAUUUCCAUUGGCAGAAGGAAGAUGGAGAUGCCUUGAUAUUCAAGGAUACAUGGCCUCUCCUUUGUUGGUUGUGUUGGAAAAUGGAUCUGGACAGGCCGGGGAUUGAACCCAGGACCUCCUACACCGGUGCCAGGUGCUCUACCACUGAGCUACCUGCCCUGGUUGUGUGCAUGUUCAGCUUAGUUCUAACACUCCCCCCUAAGCUGAACACGCCACACAUCCCUACCUGCCAGUCCAUGCCUACCACAGGCCAUCCAACCAUAGCUCCGAUACCAUGUUGGAAAAUGGAUCUGGACAGGCCGGGGAUUGAACCCAGGACCUCCUACACCGGUGCCAGGUGCUCUACCACUGAGCUACCUGCCCUGGUUGUGUGCAUGUUCAGCUUAGUUCUAAC